RNAcentral lists this ribosomal RNA (497 nucleotides) under uncultured bacterium. RNAcentral's name for it is "partial 16S ribosomal RNA". It matches the Rfam family "Bacterial small subunit ribosomal RNA", at positions 28 to 507 of the family's 1533-position model. The record is from RNAcentral.
GAUGAACGCUGGCGGCGUGCCUAAUACAUGCAAGUCGAGCGAACAGACGAGGAGCUUGCUCCUCUGACGUUAGCGGCGGACGGGUGAGUAACACGUGGAUAACCUACCUAUAAGACUGGGAUAACUUCGGAAAACCGGAGCUAAUACCGGAUAAUAUAUUGAACCGCAUGGUUCAAUAGUGAAAGACGGUUUUGCUGUCACUUAUAGAUGGAUCCGCGCCGCAUUAGCUAGUUGGUAAGGUAACGGCUUACCAAGGCAACGAUGCGUAGCCGACCUGAGAGGGUGAUCGGCCACACUGGAACUGAGACACGGUCCAGACUCCUACGGGAGGCAGCAGUAGGGAAUCUUCCGCAAAGGGCGAAAGCUUGACGGAGCAACGCCGCGUGAGUGAUGAAGGUCUUCGGAUCGUAAAACUCUGUUAUUAGGGAAGAACAAAUGUGUAAGUAACUAUGCACGUCUUGACGGUACCUAAUCAGAAAGCCACGGCUAACUACGUG